AACGAACGCUGGCGGCAUGCCUAACACAUGCAAGUCGAACGAGACCUUCGGGUCUAGUGGCGCACGGGUGCGUAACGCGUGGGAAUCUGCCCUUGGGUUCGGAAUAACUCAGAGAAAUUUGAGCUAAUACCGGAUGAUGACGUAAGUCCAAAGAUUUAUCGCCCAAGGAUGAGCCCGCGUAAGAUUAGCUUGUUGGUAGGGUAAUGGCCUACCAAGGCGACGAUCUUUGGCUGGUCUGAGAGGAUGAUCAGCCACACUGGGACUGAGACACGGCCCAGACUCCUACGGGAGGCAGCAGUGGGGAAUAUUGGACAAUGGGCGAAAGCCUGAUCCAGCAAUGCCGCGUGAGUGAUGAAGGCCUUAGGGUUGUAAAGCUCUUUUACCAGGGAUGAUAAUGACAGUACCUGGAGAAUAAGCUCCGGCUAACUCCGUG
RNAcentral lists this ribosomal RNA (433 nucleotides) under uncultured bacterium. RNAcentral describes it as "bacterial SSU rRNA". It matches the Rfam family "Bacterial small subunit ribosomal RNA", at positions 29 to 507 of the family's 1533-position model. The record is from RNAcentral.